This is a ribozyme of Gorilla gorilla gorilla (western lowland gorilla), 322 nucleotides long. It matches the Rfam family "Nuclear RNase P". Rfam says of the family: Ribonuclease P (RNase P) is a ubiquitous endoribonuclease, found in archaea, bacteria and eukarya as well as chloroplasts and mitochondria. Its best characterised activity is the generation of mature 5'-ends of tRNAs by cleaving the 5'-leader elements of precursor-tRNAs. NCBI's taxonomy places the organism in Eukaryota, Metazoa, Chordata, Mammalia, Primates, Hominidae. The record is from Ensembl.
AGAGUGAAACUCAUUAGAGAGUCAUGGGGCCAUGAGCUGAGUGCGUCAUGUCACUCCAGCCCCAUGUCCCUUGGGAAGAUCAGAGACUAGGGUCAGAAGCAGGCUUAACAAGGCUCUCUUUGAGUUGCAAGGAGGUGAAUUCCCAGAAAACAGAGCUGCUUGAGGUCAGACGGGGCAGGAGAUGCUGUAGACCCCACCCCUGGGGAGGAAUUCAGGGGAAGUCUCCUAAGUGAGAGCUUGGAACGGAUUCAGUGGAAUGAGCUCAACAGCUAAGGUUAGGUACCCCACAUGGGGUCCUCAUAACUGCUGUCCUCCAACCUCU